GAGUUUGAUCGUGGCUCAGAUUGAACGCUGGCGGCAUGCCUUACACAUGCAAGGUCGAACGGCAGCAUGAGUCUAGCUUGCUAGACUUGAUGGCGAGUGGCGAACGGGUGAGUAAUACAUCGGAACGUGCCCUGUAGUGGGGGAUAACUAGUCGAAAGAUUAGCUAAUACCGCAUACGACCUGAGGGUGAAAGUGGGGGACCGCAAGGCCUCAGUGCUAUAGGAGCGGGCCGAUGUCUGAUUAGCUAGUUGGUGGGGU
This 258-nucleotide ribosomal RNA is filed under the name uncultured microorganism. Its description in RNAcentral is "partial 16S ribosomal RNA". It matches the Rfam family "Bacterial small subunit ribosomal RNA", at positions 9 to 258 of the family's 1533-position model. The record is from RNAcentral.